This 376-nucleotide long non-coding RNA is filed under the name Manihot esculenta (cassava). Its description in RNAcentral is "long non-coding RNA (MESC_LNC002142)". Lineage: Eukaryota; Viridiplantae; Streptophyta; Magnoliopsida; Malpighiales; Euphorbiaceae. The record is from RNAcentral.
GAAAGUGCCCUGUGCAGCCCUCCUUUGCAUGUUUUCUAUGAUCAUUUUGAGGUGUUUUAAGGGGGUUUUUGGGGAGUAUUUUAGAGUCAUGUUCAUGUAUGUUUGGUCCCUCAUUUGAGUCCACCUGUGUAGGUUCGGACCCGAGGAACCGAGGACCUCAGCAGUGAGACGACUGCUUCAGUGUCUUGUCAGAGCUAGCCUAAGGUGAGUGGAAUAACUCUUUAUGUUUCAAAGCAAGUAAUAAAAGUUUAGCAUGAUUCAUGCAUCAUGAAUGCCAUGAGAUAUAUUAGGGUGCUUGCAUUAGAAUUCACGAAUAUGCUGCAUUGCAUAUUAUGUUAUUGAUGUGGAUGAAUGUUGAAUGAUCCAUUAGCCCUCA